RNAcentral lists this ribosomal RNA (497 nucleotides) under uncultured bacterium. Its description in RNAcentral is "partial 16S ribosomal RNA". It matches the Rfam family "Bacterial small subunit ribosomal RNA", at positions 28 to 507 of the family's 1533-position model. The record is from RNAcentral.
GAUGAACGCUGGCGGCGUGCCUAAUACAUGCAAGUCGAGCGAACGGACGAGAAGCUUGCUUCUCUGAUGUUAGCGGCGGACGGGUGAGUAACACGUGGAUAACCUACCUAUAAGACUGGGAUAACUUCGGGAAACCGGAGCUAAUACCGGAUAAUAUUUUGAACCGCAUGGUUCAAAAGUGAAAGACGGUCUUGCUGUCACUUAUAGAUGGAUCCGCGCUGCAUUAGCUAGUUGGUAAGGUAACGGCUUACCAAGGCAACGAUGCAUAGCCGACCUGAGAGGGAGGUCGGCCACACUGGAAGAGAGACACGGUCCAGACACCUACGGGAGGCAGCAGUAGGGAAUCUUCCGCAAUGGGCGAAAGCCUGACGGAGCAACGCCGCGUGAGUGAUGAAGGUCUUCGGAUCGUAAAACUCUGUUAUUAGGGAAGAACAUAUGUGUAAGUAACUGUGCACAUCUUGACGGUACCUAAUCAGAAAGCCACGGCUAACUACGUG